AGAGUUUGAUCCUGGCUCAGAGCGAACGCUGGCGGCAGGCUUAACACAUGCAAGUCGAGCGGGCAUUUUCGGAUGUCAGCGGCAGACGGGUGAGUAACACGUGGGAACGUACCCUUCGGUUCGGAAUAACGCUGGGAAACUAGCGCUAAUACCGGAUACGCCCUUUUGGGGAAAGGUUUACUGCCGAAGGAUCGGCCCGCGUCUGAUUAGCUAGUUGGUGGGGUAACGGCCUACCAAGGCGACGAUCAGUAGCUGGUCUGAGAGGAUGAUCAGCCACACUGGGACUGAGACACGGCCCAGACUCCUACGGGAGGCAGCAGUGGGGAAUAUUGGACAAUGGGCGCAAGCCUGAUCCAGCCAUGCCGCGUGAGUGAUGAAGGCCUUAGGGUUGUAAAGCUCUUUUGUCCGGGACGAUAAUGACGGUACCGGAAGAAUAAGCCCCGGCUAACUUCGUGCCAGCAGCCGCGGUAAUACGAAGGGGGCUAGCGUUGCUCGGAAUCACUGGGCGUAAAAGGGCGCGUAGGCGGCCAUUCAAGUCGGGGGUGAAAGCCUGUGGCUCAACCACAGAAUUGCCUUCGAUACUGUUUGGCUUGAGUAUGGUAGAGGUUGGUGGAACUGCGAGUGUAGAGGUGAAAUUCGUAGAUAUUCGCAAGAACACCGGUGGCGAAGGCGGCCAACUGGACCAUUACUGACGCUGAGGCGCGAAAGCGUGGGGAGCAAACAGGAUUAGAUACCCUAGUAGUCC
Molecule: ribosomal RNA, 745 nt
Filed under: uncultured bacterium
Lineage: Bacteria
Description: bacterial SSU rRNA
Rfam family: Bacterial small subunit ribosomal RNA
Source: RNAcentral